GCCCUGGUGGCUUAGCCGGCAAAGCGCGUCCUUGGUACCAAACCAAAGACAAAAAGGACGAGAUCCCGGGUUCGAAUCCCGGCCAGGGCU
RNAcentral lists this transfer RNA (90 nucleotides) under Candidatus Methanohalarchaeum thermophilum. It matches the Rfam family "tRNA". Rfam says of the family: Transfer RNA (tRNA) molecules are approximately 80 nucleotides in length. The record is from Rfam by way of RNAcentral. Lineage: Archaea; Methanobacteriati; Methanobacteriota; Methanonatronarchaeia; Methanonatronarchaeales; Methanonatronarchaeaceae.